GAAUAUUUGGGAAUCUGCCCAUCAGCGGGGGACAACCCGGGGAAACNCGGGCUAAUACCGCAUACGCUCUACGGAGGAAAGCCGGGGACCGCAAGGCCUGGCACUGAUGGAUGAGCCCAAAUCGGAUUAGCUAGUUGGCGGGGUAACGGCCCACCAAGGCGACGAUCCGUAGCUGGUCUGAGAGGACGAUCAGCCACACCGGAACUGAGACACGGUCCGGACUCCUACGGGAGGCAGCAGUGGGGAAUAUUGGACAAUGGGGGAAACCCUGAUCCAGCGACGCCGCGUGGGUGAAGAAGGCCUGCGGGUUGUAAAGCCCUUUCGGUAGGGACGAAAGCUCUUGCUCUAACAAAGCAGGAGGUUGACUUAACCUACAUAAGAAGCACCGGCUAACUCUGUGCCAGCAGCCGCGGUAAUACAGAGGGUGCGAGCGUUAAUCGGAAUUACUGGGCGUAAAGCGCACGUAGUCGGCUUGUCAAGUCGGGUGUGAAAUCCCCGGGCUCAACCUGGGAACUGCAUCCGAAACUGACUUGCUAGAGUAUGGGAGAGGGAGGCGGAAUUUC
RNAcentral lists this ribosomal RNA (563 nucleotides) under uncultured Pseudomonadota bacterium. RNAcentral's name for it is "bacterial SSU rRNA". It matches the Rfam family "Bacterial small subunit ribosomal RNA", at positions 111 to 670 of the family's 1533-position model. The record is from RNAcentral. Lineage: Bacteria; Pseudomonadati; Pseudomonadota.